GAAACAUCGGCAAACAGCUAGGGGAGUUGGCUAGCCACCCUUUUCGACGCCGUAAUUUCCCAGCUUGAACAAGUAUAUUGCGGGUUUUAAAAGAGGAGUUAGCUUCCAGCAAAGGAAGAUUUUUGGGCUUAAAAGUCAUGAUUACCAUAUCUUCAUGGAACGGCUGCUACCAGUUGCAUUUCGUGGCUUCAUUCCGGAGUGGUACGAUUACUAUCAUGAUUCGACUCUAGAUUUUCAGCAGCGGACAACCGCAGAUCGUGUGAAGGAAGAGUUUUGGAACUUGUUUGAGCUGCAUGUGGAUGACGAGGAAGAUGACAGUGCCCGAAUCCAAAUUGAGCAAGAGGCUAACCGGAUUAUUGACACAUAUGCAAGGAAAAAGGUGAAAGACAUGUUGUACCAACUUCGUGUGGAUGCUGUGAAGCUUUACUAUGAGAAUCAAGGAGAGAAGCUUGAUGACUCGAUGGCUUGUGCAAGAGAACUCGAAUAUGAGCAAUACCUCCAGAGUAAGAUACCAUGGUGCAAGGAAGUUGCAUGGCCUGGACUAUGUCGUUAUUGGACAUCAAAGGAAUACAAGACCAACAGGGGGAGGGGACGAGAAGCUCGCUUGAAAUAUGAGGAUAUUGCUCAAAACCGAUGGGGCUAUUAAGAAAGCAGAUAUUAAAUCAGCAGCUAGAAAAAGAAAUGCUAGUGCAUCAAUUUCGCUCACAUUCGAGAGAAGGAACAACUCAGGCGUGUUAAUGAAGAAAAUGCAGAACUCAGGCGUGCUAAGGAGAUGCUACAACAGAAAGUAGAUAUGCAUGGGCAGCUCAUAACUGCACUUUUCAAGGAGAUAGGAAAAGAGUUGCCGGCUCAUAUACUACAUAUACUAAGCCAUGGAGCUGUUUCGCAACCAGAAGGGACAAAUAACUCAUCUCAAGCCGGCUCGCAAGCGGUUGAUGGCAACAAUGAUGUCAUGGAGUCAAGCGAGGAGGAUGAAGCCGCUGGGAAUGUCGGCGAUCAGACCGUUGACGCAGCCAACCAUGGCGGAAACUGAUUGCUCAAUCAACAUGAUAACAUCAGACUAUAUGUGGUCGUAAUAUGCUCUUUUGUGGACUUGUGUAUCUGGUAUGGCUUAGGAAUGAGAACUAAGAUCUCGUGGUAGUUGCAAGCCGGCGUAUUUUGCUAGUAUUGUUGUAGUUGGCAGAUCCUUUUGUGGAUGGUACCUUUGUAGCCUUGUAGUGUAUGUAUGGAACUGAUGUUGAUACAUCUGGUGGUAGUUGCAAGCCGGUGUAUUUUGCUAGUAUUAUUGUAGUUAGCAGAUCCUUUUGUGGAUGGUACCUUUGUAGCCUUGUAGUGUAAUUAUAUAUGUAUGAAACUGAUGAUGCUAUAUGAAGUUUGAUGUUGUCAUAUAAAUA
Molecule: long non-coding RNA, 1394 nt
Organism: Triticum dicoccoides
Lineage: Eukaryota; Viridiplantae; Streptophyta; Magnoliopsida; Poales; Poaceae
Exons: 5
Source: RefSeq, a predicted model, not a curated record